RNAcentral lists this long non-coding RNA (860 nucleotides) under Vulpes vulpes (red fox). Its description in RNAcentral is "lncRNA (ENSVVUG00000016805.1)". Lineage: Eukaryota; Metazoa; Chordata; Mammalia; Carnivora; Canidae. The record is from RNAcentral.
GGCUUCAGAGCCCACAGGAAGCCAGACAGGUGCCCUCUCGAGUUGGAAGGACAAAGGGACUGAUACUUAAGCCACAUUUCAAACCAUGAAUGCAGAGCCUGGUUGGAGCCGUCUGUGGUGGCAGGACAAGGAGAGAGAGACACCUCCGGGGAAUCUGCAGAAGCUCCAUGUGAGGCAGAGUAAACGUUCUGGCAGGCCUCACUCCUGGGCCUUGGCCCCAGACCGCCUAACCCACCAAGUGCUGGACUGGGGCUUGCUACCCUUCACCACUCCCCCGUCCCUGUUCCAAGUCUGGGGGUGCCAGAACAGUUCUGGAGCAUGGACACCUCCUCUCAGGGCUCUGGCUUCCAGAUCUUCCUGCAGCUGUGUGAUGCCCCAGGCUCCACACCACCCUGCCAACCUUCCAUUCUUUCCUCUCCAUCAGCCACACCCAAGGGGCCUCAUCCUGGCAGGUAACUAUGCCUGGUCACAGAUGUUGGUAAGGUAACCUAAGCCCCUAGUUUGCUAGCUAGUUGAAAUAUUUCUCUCCCAGAUAACCUACUUCCUUGGUUUAGAUAAACAGGCUUCUUAAGAAGGCCUUUAGGGGAUGUCAGAGAUGGAGGAGAUCCCAGUCCCAGGAGCUAACCAGUGGCUUCCAUGCACAUAGACACAGUUAUCUACUCUGUCCACGUGUGACACAAUAUGAGGGUGCUUGCAUUUUCCUUCCUCCUUUGACACCUUCCCAUUUGGGCCAAUGGGAAAGUUAAAGCACAAUCAGGCUAAUGCACUGUGACAUUGGUUAGUAUGCUAGAGCAAGGCUGCCAGAGCCUCAAAGAUGUUGUUAGAAAUAGAACAUUGUUUUUAGCUGGUACAGAUAAAUU